CCCGGUGCACCCAGCACUGUUUGCUUACCUCUAUUCCUUUAUAUUCUUUUAAUAAAUCCUAUUUUUUUAUUUAAUCCUAAUUUGAAUCCUGAGCCAUUUAUAACACUAGGCAGAACAAAAAAUGGCCAGGGAUACAGAUAUUCUUAAAGAACAAGAUAGGUGUAUGGACUAGAAUGUACUAACAACCCUGUAUUUUGGGGCAGGAAGAAUCAGGAACUAGCCCACUCCUUUUGCUACAAUAUUGGAAUCUGCUGAGGUAAAGGUACAUCCAGGUGCAUUCUCAAUACUUAUAGCUCUUGUAUAGUUUGCAGCUGAACACAUCAAAUUAGAGCUAAUGAAGAAAUUACUGUCCUCAGUAGGACUGGACUGUGAAAGCCUGAUGUAUAUUUUACUUUAACUGGAGUAGAAGAUUCAAAACGCUAUGACUAGUGUCUUCCCAAACCCUGUGUUACCCACAGAGAGAAGCAUAUGCAGAAGGUGCUAUUGAAAUUAGUCUUAAAAAAAAAAAAAAGCAUUACUUUCAACAAGCAACAAAAAAUAACCAAGUAAAGCUAGAUGGUCUCUUGGCUCCACCCUUGUGAAGUGAAACCUGCCAGGUGUGGAUCAUUUGACUUUUGCUAUAUAGGAAGCCUGAGGACUUGUGGGGAAUUGCCUUCCUGGUGGGGAGUUGGAGGCUCAGGUUCUCUAGGGUGCUUUUCUGCUGUUGUGGUGAAGCGGAUUCAGUGUUCCCUGUGUGGUGAGACCCUGGUGGUGCAAAGUCACUGUGAAGCAGUGUGGAAGUGACUCAAGUUCAGGAGCUGGCAGUGAAAUUACUUCCGUGGCUUCUAAGCUCCCUUUCAAGCUCUUCCAAAUACAAUGAUAAUGAAAGCGAAGAAGAAAGCCCCACCAACUCAGAAGCUCAAGUGCUUACAGGCCUGCGUCUCGGCUGUGGAGAAAGAUUUGGAAGAUCGCGCUGAGGGUCACAUCGCUGAGGUUCCUGCGCCGAGGUGUCGUGGUUUAACCCGGCCGGCAGCUAAACACCACGCAGCCGUUCGCUCAGCCUCCCCCCUCCCUCUCUGGGACGGGGGAGAGAAAUG
Non-coding RNA from Anas platyrhynchos (mallard), 1076 nucleotides. The record is from RefSeq and is a predicted model, not a curated record. NCBI's taxonomy places the organism in Eukaryota, Metazoa, Chordata, Aves, Anseriformes, Anatidae.